RNAcentral lists this ribosomal RNA (850 nucleotides) under Nocardiopsis sp. IM-3791. RNAcentral's name for it is "bacterial SSU rRNA". It matches the Rfam family "Bacterial small subunit ribosomal RNA", at positions 38 to 889 of the family's 1533-position model. Lineage: Bacteria; Bacillati; Actinomycetota; Actinomycetes; Streptosporangiales; Nocardiopsidaceae. The record is from RNAcentral.
GGCGGCGUGCUUAACACAUGCAAGUCGAGCGGUAAGGCCCUUCGGGGUACACGAGCGGCGAACGGGUGAGUAACACGUGAGCAACCUGCCCCCGACUCUGGGAUAAGCGGCGGAAACGCCGUCUAAUACCGGAUACGACCCGCCACCUCAUGGUGUGCGAGUGGAAAGUUUUUUCGGUUGGGGAUGGGCUCGCGGCCUAUCAGCUUGUUGGUGGGGUAAAGGCCUACCAAGGCGAUUACGGGUAGCCGGCCUGAGAGGGCGACCGGCCACACUGGGACUGAGACACGGCCCAGACUCCUGCGGGAGGCAGCAGUGGGGAAUAUUGCACAAUGGGCGAAAGCCUGAUGCAGCGACGCCGCGUGGGGGAUGACGGCCUUCGGGUUGUAAACCUCUUUUACCACUAACGCAGGCUCCACGUUCUCGUGGGGUUGACGGUAGGUGGGGAAUAAGGACCGGCUAACUACGUGCCAGCAGCCGCGGUAAUACGUAGGGUCCGAGCGUUGUCCGGAAUUAUUGGGCGUAAAGAGCUCGUAGGCGGCGUGUCGCGUCUGCUGUGAAAGACCGGGGCUUAACUUCGGUUCUGCAGUGGAUACGGGCACGCUAGAGGUAGGUAGGGGAGACUGGAAUUCCUGGUGUAGCGGUGAAAUGCGCAGAUAUCAGGAGGAACACCGGUGGCGAAGGCGGGUCUCUGGGCCUUACCUGACGCUGAGGAGCGAAAGCAUGGGGAGCGAACAGGAUUAGAUACCCUGGUAGUCCAUGCCGUAAACGUUGGGCGCUAGGUGUGGGGACUUUCCACGGUUUCCGCGCCGUAGCUAACGCAUUAAGCGCCCCGCCUGGGGAGUACGGCCGC